Molecule: ribosomal RNA, 301 nt
Filed under: uncultured bacterium
Lineage: Bacteria
Description: partial 16S ribosomal RNA
Rfam family: Bacterial small subunit ribosomal RNA
Source: RNAcentral
CAGUCGCCGCGGUAAUACGAGGGGGGCAAGCGUUGUUCGGAAUUAUUGGGCGUAGAGGGUGCGUAGGCGGCUUGACAAGUCUUGUGUGAAAUCUAUGGGCUCAACCCAUAGUCUGCACGGGAAACUGUCGGGCUUGAGAAUGGGAGAGGUGAGUGGAAUUUCCGGUGUAGCGGUGAAAUGCGUAGAUAUCGGAAGGAACACCUGUGGCGAGAGCGGCUCACUGGACCAUUUCUGACGCUGAUGCACGAAAGCUAGGGGAGCAAACAGGAUUAGAGACCCCGGUAGUCCCUGUCUCUUAUAC